AUACGGAGGAUCCGAGCGUUAUCCGGAUUUAUUGGGUUUAAAGGGUGCGCAGGCGGCCAUUUAAGUCAGCGGUUAAAUCGUGGGGCUCAACCCCAUUCUGCCGUUGAUACUGGGUGGCUUGAUUGCGGUCGAGGUUGGCGGAAUUCGUUGUGUAGCGGUGAAAUGCAUAGAUAUGACGAAGAACACCGAUUGCGUAGGCAGCUGACCAGACCGCAAAUGACGCUCAUGCACGAAAGUGCGGGGAUCGAACAGGAUUAGAUACCCUGGUAGUCCGCACAGUAAACGAUGAAUACUUGUUUUCGGCGAUAUAAUGUCGGAGGCAAAGCGAAAGCGAUAAGUAUUCCACCUGGGGAGUACGCCGGCAACGGUGAAACUUAAAUGAAUUGACGG
RNAcentral lists this ribosomal RNA (390 nucleotides) under uncultured bacterium. RNAcentral's name for it is "partial 16S ribosomal RNA". It matches the Rfam family "Bacterial small subunit ribosomal RNA", at positions 523 to 916 of the family's 1533-position model. The record is from RNAcentral.